This 406-nucleotide long non-coding RNA is filed under the name Equus caballus (horse). RNAcentral describes it as "lncRNA (ENSECAG00000056782.1)". The record is from RNAcentral. Lineage: Eukaryota; Metazoa; Chordata; Mammalia; Perissodactyla; Equidae.
UUUCAUCUUCCUUCUUAACUCCCCGGAUUUUGUCUCUGAGCUGAUGCUUCAGGUCACCAUUAAUGCCUCUUGCCUGUGACCAUGUACAGUUGAGCAUAGCUGUCUUCUUUGUUGAGAUGUUGUGCCUGAAUGGAAACCUAGCAGCAUCUACUGUUCUUGCAUGGUCACACUUUUAUUCCUGAGAACUAUAUGGAUACAGACCCUUUGUCUUUGGGCACAGAAUGCUGCUGUGAAAUGUCUGACCUGAAACUGACUACCCUCCUGCAUGCCAGCAUCCUGGAGCACACUAAGACCAGAAGACCAAAAAAGAAACAGGAUUUGAACAACACUAUAGAACAAAUGAACCCAACAGACAUAUACAAAAUAUUCCACUCAACAGCAGCAGAAUAUACAUUUUUCUCAAACG